RNAcentral lists this ribosomal RNA (512 nucleotides) under uncultured Actinomycetes bacterium. RNAcentral's name for it is "bacterial SSU rRNA". It matches the Rfam family "Bacterial small subunit ribosomal RNA", at positions 373 to 896 of the family's 1533-position model. The record is from RNAcentral. Lineage: Bacteria; Bacillati; Actinomycetota; Actinomycetes.
GGGCGGAAGCCUGAUGCAGCGACGCCGCGUGAGGGAUGACGGCCUUCGGGUUGUAAACCUCUUUCGACCCUGACGAAGCGUGAGUGACGUAGGGGGAGAAGAAGCACCGGCCAACUACGUGCCAGCAGCCGCGGUAAGACGUAGGGUGCGAGCGUUGUCCGGAUUUAUUGGGCGUAAAGAGCUCGUAGGCGGCUCGUCGCGUCGACCGUGAAAACUUGGGGCUUAACCCUAAGCUUGCGGUUGAUACGGGCGGGCUAGAGUUCGGUAGGGGAGACUGGAAUUCCUGGUGUAGCGGUGAAAUGCGCAGAUAUCAGGAGGAACACCGGUGGCGAAGGCGGGUCUCUGGGCCGAUACUGACGCUGAGGAGCGAAAGCGUGGGGAGCGAACAGGAUUAGAUACCCUGGUAGUCCACGCUGUAAACGUUGGGCGCUAGGUGUGGGGGGCCUCUCCGGUUCUCUGUGCCGCAGCUAACGCAUUAAGCGCCCCGCCUGGGGAGUACGGCCGCAAGGCUA